Molecule: ribosomal RNA, 256 nt
Filed under: uncultured bacterium
Lineage: Bacteria
Description: partial 16S ribosomal RNA
Rfam family: Bacterial small subunit ribosomal RNA
Source: RNAcentral
GCAAGUCGAACGAGAACGAUAUCUUCGGGUAUUUAGUAAAGUGGCGCACGGGUGAGUAACACGUGGGUAACCUACCCCUCGGCGGGGGAUAACCAUCCGAAAGGAUGGCUAAUACCGCAUACGGUCAUCUUCUCCUUGGGGAAGAUGAGGAAAGUGGCGCAAGUCACACCGGGGGAUGGGCCCGCGCACCAUUAGCUAGUAGGUGGGGUAAUGGCCUACCUAGGCAUCGAUGGUUAGCUGAUCUGAGAGGAUGAUC